RNAcentral lists this ribosomal RNA (497 nucleotides) under uncultured bacterium. RNAcentral's name for it is "partial 16S ribosomal RNA". It matches the Rfam family "Bacterial small subunit ribosomal RNA", at positions 28 to 507 of the family's 1533-position model. The record is from RNAcentral.
GAUGAACGCUGGCGGCGUGCCUAAUACAUGCAAGUCGAGCGAACGGACGAGAAGCUUGCUUCUCUGAUGUUAGCGGCGGACGGGUGAGUAACACGUGGAUAACCUACCUAUAAGACUGGGAUAACUUCGGGAAACCGGAGCUAAUACCGGAUGAUAUUUUGAACCGCAUGGUUCAAAAGUGAAAGACGGUCUUGCUGUCACUUAUAGAUGGAUCCGCGCUGCAUUAGCUAGUUGGUAAGGUAACGGCUUACCAAGGCAACGAUGCAUAGCCGACCUGAGAGGGUGAGCAGCCACAGUGGAACUGAGACACGGGCCAGAGUCCGACGGGAGGCAGCAGGGGGGAAGAUUGGACAAGGGGCGCAAGUCUGAAGCAGCUAUACCGCGGGGGGGAAGAAGGUCUUCGGGGUGGAAAACAGUUUUGUUGGGAAAGAAAAGAAGCAGGUGAAUACACCGCUGUUGGGACGGUACCAAAAGAGGAAGCACCGGCUAACUUCGUG